CUGUGUAGCCAUAUCACCCUGCAACUCACAACUGGCAACCCACUGAAGCUAAGCAGGUAUGAGCCUGGUCAGUACCUGGAUGGGAGACCUCCUGGGAAAAUCUAAGGUUGCUGCUGGAA
This is a ribosomal RNA of Lepisosteus oculatus (spotted gar), 119 nucleotides long. NCBI's taxonomy places the organism in Eukaryota, Metazoa, Chordata, Actinopteri, Semionotiformes, Lepisosteidae. The record is from Ensembl.